This 440-nucleotide ribosomal RNA is filed under the name uncultured bacterium. RNAcentral's name for it is "partial 16S ribosomal RNA". It matches the Rfam family "Bacterial small subunit ribosomal RNA", at positions 338 to 795 of the family's 1533-position model. The record is from RNAcentral.
CCUACGGGUGGCAGCAGUAGGGAAUAUUGCACAAUGGGGGAAACCCUGAAGCAGCAACGCCGCGUGUAGGAUGAAGGUUUUCGGAUUGUAAACUCCUUUUGUUAGGGAAGAUAAUGACGGUAUCUAACACCUAAGCACCGGCUAACUCCGUGCCAGCAGCCGCGGUAAUACGGAGGGUGAAAGCCUGACUCGGAAGGACUGGGCGUAAAGUGCGCGGAGGCGGGAUAGCAAGUCAGAUGUGAAAUCCUAGGGCUUAACCAUAGAACUGCAUUUGAAACUGGUAGUCUAGAGUAUGGGAGAGGGAGGUAGAAUUCCAGGUGUAGGGGUAAAAUGCGUAGAGAUCAAGAGGAAUACUGAUGGCGAAGGCGACCUGCUAGACAAAAACUGACGCUGAGGUGCGAAAGCGUGGGGAGCAAACAGGAUUAGAUACCCCAGUAGUC